RNAcentral lists this ribosomal RNA (743 nucleotides) under uncultured Bacillota bacterium. RNAcentral describes it as "bacterial SSU rRNA". It matches the Rfam family "Bacterial small subunit ribosomal RNA", at positions 61 to 782 of the family's 1533-position model. The record is from RNAcentral. Lineage: Bacteria; Bacillati; Bacillota.
GUCGAACGCGAAAGUCCCGCAAGGGAUGAGUAGAGUGGCAAACGGGUGAGUAACGCGUGGGCGACCUACCUCAGAGUGGGGGAUAACCUUCCGAAAGGAGGGCUAAUACCGCAUGACAUCCCGUGUUUAGAUACACGGUGAUCAAAGCCGGGGAUCGCAAGACCUGGCGCUUGGAGAGGGGCCCGCGUCCGAUUAGCUAGUUGGUGAGGUAACGGCUCACCAAGGCUCCGAUCGGUAUCCGGCCUGAGAGGGCGGACGGACACACUGGGACUGAGACACGGCCCAGACUCCUACGGGAGGCAGCAGUGGGGAAUUGUUCGCAAUGGGCGCAAGCCUGACGACGCAACGCCGCGUGGAGGAUGAAGACCUUCGGGUCGUAAACUCCUUUCGACCGAGAUGAAUUCCCGCCGGCCUAAUAUGCCGGCGGGGUGACAGUAUCGAGGGAAGCAGCCCCGGCUAACUCCGUGCCAGCAGCCGCGGUAAUACGGGGGGGGCAAGCGUUGUUCGGAAUUACUGGGCGUAAAGGGUUCGUAGGUGGCUCGCUAAGUCAGACGUGAAAUCCCUCAGCUUAACUGGGGAACUGCGUCUGAGACUGGUGAGCUCGAGUGCAGGAGAGGAACGCAGAAUUCCAGGUGUAGCGGUGAAAUGCGUAGAUAUCUGGAGGAAUACCGGUGGCGAAGGCGGCGUUCUGGACUGCAACUGACACUGAGUGAACGAAAGCCAGGGGAGCAAACGGGAUUAGA